UAAAAGUCAUGCCCUCCAUAAGUUAACAUGACGUUUUUUUAUAAGUUACUUCCAAUUAACAUAAUGAGUUAUGUAAUUUCAACUUAAUUUCAUGAGUUAUUUGCAUUUCAACUCAAUAAUGUGAGUCAGUUCAAUGAAACAUAAAUUUAAAUGUGUUAAGAUAACUUGACAAUGUGAGUUUUAAAAUGGUAACCCGAUCUUAUAAAAACUGAUCACCACUGGCAAUAUUAAUGCGAGAUCCAAAUAGUGCCGGAAAUUCGCUCUUUAUCUGUUAAGGGACUAAAUAUGAUGUAAGAUUUAGUUAGACUUUAUAAAGUUCUUUAUCCCAGUUAGAAUUGCAAUAUUAAAUGAAGAGGAGGAACACCACCUGACCAGAGUAAGAACGUCGAAAGCAAAGUCGCGGAUGAAUACAAUUUUUUCCAAGACCUUGAUCCGUCCCCAAGGCAUUCAAAUUUGGCGGGGCAUUUUUCCUAAAAGCGAAUUGAGCUGGAGCCAUAUAAGUAAGGUGGUCCAUUAUUUAAAGUUUGGCAAAAACUGUGGAUGAAAUGGAGAUGUAAGUUUUGCAAUUUUGUUACCUACAAUGAAAGAACAAUAUUGAGUCAUUACAAAGACAAUCAUGGACGUGGAAGACGGGGACUGAGCUGCAUUUAUCCAAACUGUCUGACUGUUCUCAAAUCCCACGUAGAUUUCACAAAACAUAUCAAGGGACAUAAAAGAUCAUGUCCAGUUGCUAAACUACGCUGUGAACUCUGUACAUUUUCAGCACCAACCAACAUCAAACAGUAUUUUCUUCAUUUAAAGAGACAUUUGAGAACUGGAGAGACUGUCAAUUGUCCAUUUGCAGGGUGUUCUUUUAAGUCAAGGGUAAUCUCAACUUUCACUGCCCAUAAGAGUCGAUAUCAUCAUACUGCUACAUUGGUUGAUUUCAAACCUGAUCUUGUUGUGAAGUGUCACAGUGAAGUCUUUGUAAAUGAUUGUGAAGAAGACUUUGAUGAUUUAGUGUCAUCAGAUUUAUUGUUGCCUGAAUCUGAAGGUCAACCUGUGCAAAAUUCUAUCCAACGACAGAUAGCGUCCCUUUUACUUCGCCUACAAGCGGUCCUUCACGUGUCACAAUCAGCAAUUCAAGAAAUUGUUGAUGAAUUAUUUGAUGUUGGUCAAUGUGCUUUACAAUUAACUCAGCACAAAAUUGAAAAUAUUUUGAAAGAGCAUAAUUGCUCAUCAGAGGAAUUAACAGAAUCUUUGACUGAAGCUUUACAGAGUGCAAACUCACUUACUUUACUUUCAAGAGAGGGGCCUUUAGGCACAGAAUUUAAAAGACAGUCAUUUUAUAGACAGAACUUUACUGUCAUUGAGCCUGUUGAAUAUGUUUUGAAUAGGCAAAAAAAAUCUCAUACUGUUGUUUAUAUCCCCAUUCUCAAAUUACUUUCUGUAAUUCUAAAGCGAGAUGAGGUACUGCAUGAAUUAAGAGUAAACAGAUCAUCUGAACAAUCUGGAGAGUACAAGUCAUGUCUCGAUGGUGACUACUUUAAAACAAAUCACAUUUUCUCACAUGAAGAUGUUAGUUUGUGCAUAACUUUGUACAUUGACGAUUUUGAAGUUUGUAAUCCCAUUGGCACCUCCAGAAAAAAACACAAAGUGUGUGGUGUUUAUUGGAUUCUUGCCAAUUUGCCAAGAAGAUAUAAGUCGUCACUGCCAUCAAUCUACCUAGCUUUAUUGUGCAAGACUGAACAUAUUAAGACUUAUGGAUAUAAUGAGGUUUUAGAGCCACUGAUAAAAGAUAUUCAGUGUCUAGAAACAGUUGGUGUGUUUGUAGAAAAACUUAAUUGUAAUGUAAAAGGGACCAUCUUGCAUGUUUCUGCAGACAACUUGGCAGCACACUCCCUAGCUGGAUUCCAAGAGUCUUUUAAUGUGGAAAAAUUUUGUAGGUUUUGUUUGUGUAAUCGUGAAGAAAUACAGACUUGUGAUGUCAGAAGUGGAAAGUUUGUUUUACGAACAUCAGAUUUGUAUGAUGAAGCUGUAAAUUUAUUGAACCAGAGUGAACUUGCAUCUGUUGAUGGUGUGAAACGGGAAUGUCCACUUAACAGACUGACCGGUUUUCAUGCAUGCCGAGGUUUUCCACCUGAUUUUUUACAUGAUGUGUUGGAAGGCAUUGUACCCGUUGAGCUAAGUCUGUGCCUUGCAGAUUUGAUUUUGAAGAACUAUUUCACAUUGGAUGAGCUCAAUAACGAAAUACAAGGCUUUCCUUUUAAGUUCUCUGACAAAACAAACCGGCCUCAAAAGAUUCCAUCAACUUUUAAGCGGAAUCGUACUCUAGGUGGUAAUGGACAUGAAAACUGGAGUCUAGUGCGCUUCCUUCCGCUCAUCAUUGGUCACCGUGUUCCAGAAGGUGAUCAAACAUGGGAAUUAGUUCUUGAGCUCAAAGACUUGGUGGAGCUAUUGUCAACCACAUAUUUCACUUCAGACUCACUUUGUUAUUUACAGGCAAAAAUAUCAGACCACAGACAGUUGCUGCAGACAGUUUUCCCAGAAAAAAAGUUGUGUCCCAAACAUCACUUUAUUGAACAUUAUCCAUAUCUUAUUCAAAAGUUUGGACCUCCAACUGAGUGUUGGACUAUAAGGUUUGAGGCAAAACAUUCUUUCUUUAAGAAGGCUGUGCGAGAUGCCAACAACUUUAAAAACAUUCUGCUUACGCUUGCUACAAGACAUCAACUUAUGUUGGCGCAUUACUUUGCAAUGCCAAGACUUUUCAAGCCGGAGACUGAGACGGCAAAGGUGUCUGAAAUGUGUCUCGAAGUUUUAGAUGCUGCCAUCAGACAAGCCAUCUUGAAUAGGUUCAGGAGUGUUGAAACAGUAGGACUGACCCCUCACAUCUUUCUGAAUGGAACCAAGUACUCAAAGGGAAUGAUUCUCUCUAGUGGGAGCACAAGUGAAUUGCCAAACUUUGGACAAAUUUUAGAAGUAUGCAUUGUGUUGGAGAGUAAUGUUUGCUUCAUUAUAGAACCUUUCAUAGCACACUACGUGGAGCAUCUACGGAGUUACCAUCUUGUGAAGAAAAACCCUGCUGAGUGUCUGUUGGUGAAACCAGAGGAUCUCAACGACUACGUGCCACUGGUGUCAUACUUCAUUCGGGGCCGUCUUCUGGUCACUCCCAAGACUUUCUUGCUAAAAUAAAACGGCUGUCUAAGUUGUCUACAAUGCUGCUGCGUGUCAUAGUUUCAGAAAAUGAAAUUAGGCGUCUUUCAAUUGAAGACAUCCCCUCAAGUGUUGAGAACCUGUACCAGGUGUUGCGAACCAACCUUGCUCUAAGAGGAGGAUUCAUUUUGCAGUAUGAGGAUCCUGAUUUCAAUAAUCAAUUGUGCAACCUAACGAACAUCAAAGACCUUCCUGUGGACCGUGCAACUUUGAAAGUAUUGUUCACAGCUGAUGACUCAGAUUCUACACUGGACACUGGCAGCCUUUCUUCUCCAAGUAGUGCAGUUUUUGUUCAAUGGCCUGACCCCUUCCCGAUUCCAAAGUUUUCACAUGAUGUGGAGCUGCAACUGAAAGAAGCCAAUUGUAGAUAUGCUAAGGAUGGAUGUGUGACGGUGAUUUCUAAAACUUUGAAGACUGAUAUCCUUGACACACUUGCAGACGGUAUGUCAAAGAUUAGUGCUUAUCCUGAGAGGCAACACUAUGAAAAUGUGGCCAAAGCACUGGUGGAAAGGCAUCCCUGUCUGCGAGACCCAGGAUCAGAAAAGGGAUGGUACUCAUGGUUUCACAGUCUGAAAUUUAAAAUGGGAAACUACAGACAAAAAUUAAGUUCAGCAGGAUGCCCUGAAGUGGUCAUAAACAAACGAAAAUCUGGAAGUUCAAAAGGGGAAACUGUCAAAAAGUCAAAGAAGGGGGAGGUGAACUACUGUCCUGAUCCACCUGAAGGACAGAGUCCUGAAAACAUGGAGGUGAAGCGCAAGAUAAUGGAGGCUGAAAUGCAGAAGAAAGACCCAAAUCAUCAGCUGCUUGAGGAUUUGAUGGUUGCUACAUUUUCUCAGCGUAGGAAAGAGAUUGUAGGAGAUCAACCACACAUCACAGAGCUCAUCUCCCGAUGGCCAACUCUGUUCCAUGAGAAACAGAUUAGGGCUGAAUUUAAAAGAAUCGUCACCAAAGACCUUCUGGAAUCUUUUCUUGACGGACUUGAUGGCCUGGUUCCGAGACUGCUGGAGAUCUACAAAGCAGCAACCAAAUCUGGAAAGAAGCAGCCACUCAAAGACAUUUUGGACUGCCUUGCAAAAGAUGACACAAAUGAAAGGAGAAGGGCUGCUGCUCUGCUUGGUUUGCCACGCUACAUAUCUGGUGAAGAUCCAUCAACUAUCAUCAGGAUGUGUGAUGCCCAUGCUGAUUUUCUGGAUGAUGCCAUGAAGGGGAUGCAGGUUGGUCUCCUGAUUGCCUGUGAAGGUGGUGAACAGUGGCCCAUCCCACACGAGGUCUUCGAUGUGGCAGUUGUGGUGGAGGAGACCAUUGUGCUUCACAACAUUAAAGAUGUGACACUUGGMUUUGCUA
Poecilia reticulata (guppy) is the source of this 4536-nucleotide non-coding RNA. The record is from RefSeq and is a predicted model, not a curated record. Lineage: Eukaryota; Metazoa; Chordata; Actinopteri; Cyprinodontiformes; Poeciliidae.